AUCUAAAGACCGUCAUACAAGGUCUUAUUUCUUGUAGUGCUACUGCCCGCGGAACAUACACUGGAUCUAGCUGAAAUAGAGGUACAACAUGUAGAGGUACUGUUGCAGGUACAGCAGGAACUUGUGGGCGCACUUCCGGAACACGUACCGAAAAUGGAGGUCUACGCGGUAUCUGUUUUUCUCUCCUUCCCAUUAUGCUAUAUCAAGCAAUUUAUUUAAAUUAUACAUUCAAAAUAUUAACUAAACAAUAAUUAAGUAAUGCAUUUAAAAAAAUUAGAUUAAUAAACUAAAAUGAUAAUUGAAAUAAGAAAUCAAAAAUUACAUACUUCGAAUUUUGGUGAAUAAUAUUGAAGAUCGAGUUUAGUUUAUAUCGGCUUCUUUAGCACCAACACCUGUGAGUUUGGAAUAAACUAUAUCAAAUUACAGUUUGAAUUAAUUAUUUCAAUUUUUUUAAAAAAUUUCAUGACCUAUUUGCUUUUAAUGAUAAUCGAAACACAUAUAACAUAAAAUUAAACCUGCAAAUAAACAUAUAUAUACAACAUACAAAUGAAGAUGAAUACAAACGACAAUCCUUAAAAUUUUACCAUACAAUGGAAGCAUACUGAGAUACAAAUUUCUCGCGGAGAAAUUUAAACAGCAAAUACUAUAAAACGAGAAGUUCAUGAAAUUUAAAUUUAAAUUAGUUCUUACGAGAUCUCAUUGAGAAAAACAGAAGAAAUACAUGUGCUCAAGAGGGAAAAAUUUAUAUAGAAAGAGGGAAAGCUUCUUAUGAUAUUUCAAGAUUGGAAGAUUUUAUUUCAAAUAAAAUAAAAUCAAGGUUUAUUUUAUCUGAAUUUUGUCCUGUAGUGUAUAGUUUGUCAUCAACACGAUAUUUCCAUCUCUAAAAAAAUAUUAAAUAAGAGAUUAAAUCUAGAACCGUCGAUUCAACUAACGUACUAUCAAUGAAAAAUACCUUGAUGCAAUUCAAUUGAGAUUUUUUUAUAUGAAGAUUAUACUAAUGAAAUCAAACAUUACAUGAAACAUCAUGUAUUCAUGUUUGUUUGUCAGAGGAAAUGUGAAUAAGUCUGAAUAAUGAUUAAGAAAAUAUUUAUUCGAACAUGAAACUUUAGUGAUAUCAGCACUGUAACUGGUAACUGUACUACUUGGUAUCUACUGUGACUCAAACGACACUAUUUUUUUCCCCUUUGAAUACUUUACAGUUUACAUUCAAAAUAUGUUUGCAUAUGUAUAUAUGGACCAAAAAACACCAAGUGUACUUUAAUAUAUACUACAGCCUAGAAUGAAUGAGAAGUUCAAAUCUUAAAAAACACUGUUCUAGUAUUAAUGUGCAUUUUCUUCAACCUUCUACAAUCCUAAUUCUCCAAAUAAUUAUUCUUUUUUUUUGAAAACAUAGAAAUACAGAAAAGCAAUGUUCAUCGUCAACCAACAUCUUAAGAAGUAUAAUUCAAUUUAAAAAAAUCACACGUCUUGAAAUCAAAUUAGAAUACGAUAUUUUGUGUUUUUUGUUAAUUUAUUUUAAAUCCACAUCCCUAAUCGUGAGAUCAAACACCCAGAAUGACAAAAUACCAAAUCAUUGAUCCAACACAACACUGCAUCGAAGAAUCUCGAUCCAAAAUAAACAAAUUAACAAAACAUUUGAGCUACCUGUUCGAACUCUCACCAGAGGAAAAUCGCUGCUGCCACCAGAGGAACUCCUCGCCGCAUCGCUGAAGGGUUGGGAAAUCACCGGAGGAACGUCGCUGGAGGGUUGGGAAAUCACCGGUGGAAUGUCGUUGGUUGGGAAAUCGCGAUGUGGGAUUUUAGGAGGGUUUAAUUUAGGGGUUUGGGUUUAACAAUGGGUAUUUUAUAUUUUUUACCUUUAAAUUAUCAACUUUAG
This 1876-nucleotide long non-coding RNA is filed under the name Zostera marina. RNAcentral's name for it is "long non-coding RNA (ZMAR_LNC001843)". Lineage: Eukaryota; Viridiplantae; Streptophyta; Magnoliopsida; Alismatales; Zosteraceae. The record is from RNAcentral.